GUCUAUGGCCUUGCUAACCUGAACAAGCCCAAACCCAUCUGAUCUUGGAAGCUAAGCAGGGUCGGGCCUGGUUAGUACUUGGAUGGGAGACCACCUAGGAAGAUCAGGUGCUGUAGGCA
This 119-nucleotide ribosomal RNA is filed under the name Pteropus alecto (black flying fox). Lineage: Eukaryota; Metazoa; Chordata; Mammalia; Chiroptera; Pteropodidae. The record is from RNAcentral.